GGCGGCAUGCCUUACACAUGCAAGUCGAACGGCAGCAUGGGUGCUUGCACCUGAUGGCGAGUGGCGAACGGGUGAGUAAUGCAUCGGAACGUGCCCGGUCGUGGGGGAUAACGCAGCGAAAGCUGCGCUAAUACCGCAUACGAUCUGAGGAUGAAAGCGGGGGACCGUAAGGCCUCGCGCGAUCGGAGCGGCCGAUGUCAGAUUAGGUAGUUGGUGGGGUAAAGGCUCACCAAGCCGACGAUCUGUAGCUGGUCUGAGAGGACGACCAGCCACACUGGGACUGAGACACGGCCCAGACUCCUACGGGAGGCAGCAGUGGGGAAUUUUGGACAAUGGGCGAAAGCCUGAUCCAGCCAUGCCGCGUGAGUGAAGAAGGCCUUCGGGUUGUAAAGCUCUUUCGGCUGGGAAGAAAUCGCACAGGCUAAUACUCUGUGUGGAUGACGGUACCAGCACAAGAAGCACCGGCUAACUACGUG
Molecule: ribosomal RNA, 476 nt
Filed under: uncultured bacterium
Lineage: Bacteria
Description: bacterial SSU rRNA
Rfam family: Bacterial small subunit ribosomal RNA
Source: RNAcentral